CUCUCUGUGUGGAGAGAGAACUACCCUAAGCUUCAGGUCUUUCUUGCCAUUUUCAGAGCUAGCUCAGGGGGGUCACUAGGUUUUCCAUGCUUCUUUAUCUAAUGAGAUGAGUGGUCUCUGCUCUCCUGGCCUCUGUUCUCAUCUUUACCCAGGAAGGGAUCUUGUUCGCUAAUUGUUUGCCAGUGCCAGCUCUACUUCUAUCCUCUUGUCACAAUUGCUAGCAUUCCCCUCUGUCUUGAAAAUGAGACCAGGGUCCUAUUCCCCCAUGGAUAAUUCUACAAGUACUCCUCUUCACCCUUGAACUAAGACCUCUUCCUUUCAUCCCCGUGCAGCUAUAAGUGCUAUUGUUCCUUUUGGCCUUGGUAUUGUGACCUAGCACUGCAUAGGAGUUCUAAUGUGUUGAACAACCUGUUGAACUUAGUGCCAGCAAAAGGUUUCCUGCAAUCUCCUUAUGAACAGUUGCUGCCCCAACAGUGGGCUAAGAGCUCCUGAACUUGCUGUUGCUUCUGACAAUGCACUGGCCCCAAGGUGGACUGUACUGCCUGGGCUGUUCUCCAGGGGUUCACUACCACCCUGGUGAGGUAGACCUUUCUUGCUAACUUCCUAAGUUAUCUUGAGAAGGAAAAUUAUUUCAUCCAAGCUUUUUUUGGUUUUGCGGCUCCAGAAUUCAGUUUGAGGAGUUAAUUUUAGAGUUGUUUAGAGGAGAUUUGGGAGAGCUUGACUGAGUUCUUCUUCAAUCCACUACCUUGGUUCUACUUCUCUUUCCUCUCAUGUAUGAAAUUCUCCAAGACUGAGCUGCAAGACAAUUUCUGAUUUCCAUUGAUAAAGCCAUGGAAAUAGGGAAGAGAAAAAGUCAUGGCCCAAGAUCUCACAGUCAGCACUGGCCAUUCAUCAGGACUGUAAGAGUAUGGAUCUCAUAAGUCCCUCUCAGCAAUGGAAGGAACAAGAGAAAAUAAACAUUGGAGAUGGGGCAAAGUUAAGAAAGAAAUGGCAGAAGGAACAUGUAACCUUCCUAUUAAAGGUAACCUCUGAUUCAGUAACAUGCACAGGGGUUCUCUUAUGAUGAGA
Long non-coding RNA from Monodelphis domestica (gray short-tailed opossum), 1068 nucleotides. RefSeq lists it as uncharacterized. NCBI's taxonomy places the organism in Eukaryota, Metazoa, Chordata, Mammalia, Didelphimorphia, Didelphidae. The record is from RefSeq and is a predicted model, not a curated record.